RNAcentral lists this ribosomal RNA (165 nucleotides) under uncultured bacterium. RNAcentral describes it as "partial 16S ribosomal RNA". It matches the Rfam family "Bacterial small subunit ribosomal RNA", at positions 355 to 511 of the family's 1533-position model. The record is from RNAcentral.
UAGGGAAUCUUCCACAAUGGGCGAAAGCCUGAUGGAGCAACGCCGCGUGUGUGAUGAAGGGUUUUCGGCUCGUAAAACACUGUUGUAAGAGAAGAAUGACAUUGAGAGUAACUGUUCAAUGUGUGACGGUAUCUUACCAGAAAGGAACGGCUAAAUACGUGCCAG